UAAUGCUAGCUAGGCAUAUAAAAACUUCAAAACUAUGGUUUUGAGCAUCUACUACAUCUUAUUCUUCAACUACUAUUCAUAAGAAACAGUAAAUGAGCUUCCGCCAUCUGGCUUUCUAUUCAUUAUUUUUUUCACUAAUCGACUUUGGGAUACGACGUGGUUUUCGCUUACGCUUUCAUCCCUUUCUCAAACCAACCCUAGCUGGCAAUGGCGUGUUGGCUCUUCAUCUCUACCCACUAUGUUCCUCUCUCAAAUCUACCCUAGCUGGCAAUGGCGUGUUGCCUUACCCUCUCUCCCCUUGCUUGGAUUUCCUUCUAUUUUCCUUAGUCAGAACCCUAGAUUUCUUCCCGUGUUGAACUUCGUUUUUACCCACUAUUGACCAAUCUAUCACGUCAUUUUUUCAGAUUGAUCUGAUGAUUCAUUUAUCUUCGCCGAAGUCUACUGUUCCUUCGCCAUGCUUUCUCCUUAGUUGGACAAGUCUUGGGUUUGAAUGCAUCUUCAAAGGUUGAUCUGUGUUCAAAUGGCAGUAAAAAGGUGAAUGAACACGAGAGAUUAAAAGCAAUGCGUUGUGAUGUUAUCCAUGAAGCUUGUGAACGCAUGUAGUAUGCUUUGGCUGUUCAAGAUUAUGGAAAUGCUCUGGAUGCUUGUGCUGUUUUUUUAUGUUGAUAGACAUACUAAUGAGUUGGUAUAUUAUUGUCUUUUUAGGAAGCAAACAGCAAUGCAGGUCAUUUUUGCCAAGUCAGGGAUUAAAAUGAUUUAUCUUAUUUGGGCUCUCUUUCAAGAGAGUGUUAAAUUCAGAUAGUAUAUUACUAUUAUGAGGGAAGGAAGUUGCACAGCUUUGACUCGCGGGUGCUGUCCUCUGGUUUUUAUCAUGGCUUGAGAUGCUGUGGUGAUGUGUGCUGUAGAGUUUUUUUUCGACUGGGAUCGUGGUAACACAAGGAGUAUAUACUGCACACUGAACCUAGGCUUCUUAAUCCAUUUUGUCUCCUUUUCUUUUUCUGCUUUUCUUUUGUUCUAUUCUGUUUUUGUUCAAGUACUGUAUCUUUUUCAUUUUUGUCAUGUUGAACCUUUUAACUUACUUGGAGAGUUUGUACCCAAAAUUUAUUCCAUAUCAAUGAAUUUCUUUUCUUAAAAAAAAAGGUGAAUGGUGAAGAUUUUGUACAUGAUUAUUACUUCAAUUCCUCAUAAAUUGUUUACAUCUAAACCAUUUACUCUGCAUGUUUACCUUUCCAACCUUAUUUUUUUCACAUGGUAAGUGAUUUGAAACUUUAUUUUUGUUUAGUUUCCGUUGCAGCCUUCCUAAUCUACUUCUCUUCUUGUGAGGUUCUGCAUUUAAAGAAACUCUUAUAUUUGAUUGUUUGAUUUUACAGCAAUUUGCCUACUUUUCUCGGUGGUGACUGCACAUGUUUUGAAUAUGGAGGUUGCCUUAUGAGCGAUCAGGGCCUUGGAAAAACAAGAACUUUUAGAAAUGAUUCAGGUAUCUGAGUGGAUGAAUAAGAAUGGUGUGUGCAUAUUUUCUCCUACUGAACAUGCGGUGCACUUGGACCUCAUUGGCAAGGUUCAUGGGUUUUCUUCUGCAGAAAGCUAUUUUAACAGCUUGAAGGAACAAGACAAAACUGAGAAGGCAUAUGGUGCUCUCUUUAAUUGCUAUGUUCCACAGUGCCUAAUUGAUAAGUCCCUCUCCCAUUUUUCAGAAAAUUAAGGAGCUGGUCUACACGUGCUUUUGAACAAGACAAUUAACUGGGUGUAGAAAAUAAUGUUGUUUCUGCUAUGUUGUUUGGGGAAAUGGUCAGAUGUAGAUAGUGGAUGUAUAAUAGGAUCAAAAGAGAGAAAAGGCAGGGGGGUGGGGGUGUAUUGAAUUGGUCUUUAGCCAUGGAACUGUCAUUUAUGUUUUGCUCUAUUAUUUUCCUAUAUUCAGAAAUUGUUGCUUC
Molecule: RNA transcript, 1931 nt
Organism: Lotus japonicus
Lineage: Eukaryota; Viridiplantae; Streptophyta; Magnoliopsida; Fabales; Fabaceae
Gene name: pentatricopeptide repeat-containing protein At4g21705, mitochondrial-like
Exons: 3
Source: RefSeq, a predicted model, not a curated record